AACGAACGCUGGCGGCAUGCCUAACACAUGCAAGUCGAACGAGACCUUCGGGUCUAGUGGCGCACGGGUGCGUAACGCGUGGGAACCUGCCCUUAGGUUCGGAAUAACUCCCCGAAAGGGGUGCUAAUACCGGAUAAUGUCUUCGGACCAAAGAUUUAUCGCCUUUGGAUGGGCCCGCGCUGGAUUAGCUAGUUGGUAGGGUAAAAGCCUACCAAGGCGACGAUCCAUAGCUGGUCUGAGAGGAUGAUCAGCCACACUGGGACUGAGACACGGCCCAGACUCCUACGGGAGGCAGCAGUGGGGAAUAUUGGACAAUGGGCGAAAGCCUGAUCCAGCAAGGCCGCGUGAGUGAUGAAGGCCUUAGGGUUGUAAAGCUCUUUUACCCGGGAUGAUAAUGACAGUACCGGGAGAAUAAGCUCCGGCUAACUCCGUG
This 433-nucleotide ribosomal RNA is filed under the name uncultured bacterium. RNAcentral describes it as "partial 16S ribosomal RNA". It matches the Rfam family "Bacterial small subunit ribosomal RNA", at positions 29 to 507 of the family's 1533-position model. The record is from RNAcentral.